UCGAGCGAGCGGUUUCGAUGAAGUUUUCGGAUGGAUUUGAAAUCGACUUAGCGGCGGACGGGUGAGUAACGCGUGGGUAACCUGCCUUACACUGGGGGAUAACAGUUAGAAAUGACUGCUAAUACCGCAUAAGCGCACAGGGCCGCAUGGUCUGGUGUGAAAAACUCCGGUGGUGUAAGAUGGACCCGCGUCUGAUUAGGUAGUUGGUGGGGUAACGGCCCACCAAGCCGACGAUCAGUAGCCGACCUGAGAGGGUGACCGGCCACAUUGGGACUGAGACACGGCCCAAACUCCUACGGGAGGCAGCAGUGGGGAAUAUUGGACAAUGGGCGAAAGCCUGAUCCAGCGACGCCGCGUGAGUGAAGAAGUAUUUCGGUAUGUAAAGCUCUAUCAGCAGGGAAGAAAAUGACGGUACCUGACUAAGAAGCCCCGGCUAACUACGUGCCAGCAGCCGCGGUAAUACGUAGGGGGCAAGCGUUAUCCGGAUUUACUGGGUGUAAAGGGAGCGUAGACGGUUAAGCAAGUCUGAAGUGAAAGCCCGGGGCUCAACCCCGGUACUGCUUUGGAAACUGUUUGACUUGAGUGCAGGAGAGGUAAGUGGAAUUCCUAGUGUAGCGGUGAAAUGCGUAGAUAUUAGGAGGAACACCAGUGGCGAAGGCGGCUUACUGGACUGUAACUGACGUUGAG
RNAcentral lists this ribosomal RNA (687 nucleotides) under uncultured bacterium. Its description in RNAcentral is "bacterial SSU rRNA". It matches the Rfam family "Bacterial small subunit ribosomal RNA", at positions 62 to 750 of the family's 1533-position model. The record is from RNAcentral.